UGGGAUAAUACAAGAUGGCCUCC
RNAcentral lists this non-coding RNA (23 nucleotides) under Rattus norvegicus (Norway rat). Lineage: Eukaryota; Metazoa; Chordata; Mammalia; Rodentia; Muridae. The record is from RNAcentral.